RNAcentral lists this long non-coding RNA (906 nucleotides) under Delphinapterus leucas (beluga whale). Its description in RNAcentral is "lncRNA (ENSDLEG00000021313.1)". The record is from RNAcentral. Lineage: Eukaryota; Metazoa; Chordata; Mammalia; Artiodactyla; Monodontidae.
AAAUGAUUAUUACUUUGGGGUCAGACUCAGACUGUUCAAGGACGGAUUUUUUUUUUUUUAACUUACUACGUCAAACGCCAUUGAAUUUCAAGAUUGAAAAGAAUCAUGACUUCCUGACAAAUACGACCAAAACGCUUGGCUGAAACAUUCUCAGUGACAGGAAACUCACUACCUCACUACUUCUGGUCUUUUCCAUUUCGCUUUCCUUUCCCACUCCUCCCGAUUUUUACAAUCUUUAUUGCAGCAUUUUGCACACCUGAUGCACAGAGGCCUGUUAGUCUGUAAGUGGGAGGGACAGAGGGAACCCCAGGGCCCAGUCCAGGGCCUGAGACUCCCGGGCUCAGAGUGGGCGCGCGGUAGCUGACAGUUGGGUAAGGUAGCGGCGCCACCUUUCUGCCGAGUUCGCCUCGAGUCUCGGCUUUCCUGCGGGCACAGGGUCCUUCUCCCCGGACUCCUCGCUUUUCCUCCCCCAGGUCCGCCGCCACGCGCAGCCGCAUCCCCGCCGCCGCCCCCGUCACCUGCGCGCCCGCCCUGACGGCUCGGGGGCCACUCCUGCCGCCCCGGGAGCGGUGGCGGAGGGCGCGGGGCGCGCGGGCGGCGACCCGACCUUUCCUCCCUUCUCUCCCCCAACUCCCGCCUCUCCCUCCGCUCCCCCUCAGCCCCUCCUUCCACACUCCGCUGCCUCCUCUCUCUUGACAGCUGCCCGGCACCUUCGGCAGGGAGUUUGGAGCCGCCCCACCGCAGAGCCUACAGCCGGCCGAGACCCCGCGCCGCCGCCAUCUCUGCCUCCGCCUGGGUGGGACCUGGGCCUCGAGGUCUCCUUCCUACUUUGGAAACUGAAGGGACUGCGACGGAAACCAACGGCUUGUGUAUAUGUCAGUUUUUUUAUGUGCGUGUGUAUUUGUU